RNAcentral lists this ribosomal RNA (332 nucleotides) under uncultured bacterium. RNAcentral's name for it is "bacterial SSU rRNA". It matches the Rfam family "Bacterial small subunit ribosomal RNA", at positions 568 to 898 of the family's 1533-position model. The record is from RNAcentral.
CGCGUAGGCGGCUUGGCAAGUCAGAUGUGAAAGCCCCGGGCUUAACUCGGGAAUUGCAUCUGAAACUGCUUUGCUUGAGUCCUGGAGGGGAUAGUGGAAUUCCCAGUGUAGCGGUGAAAUGCGUAGAUAUUGGGAGGAACACCUGCGGCGAAGGCGGCUAUCUGGACAGUGACUGACGCUGAGGCGCGAAAGCUAGGGGAGCGAACGGGAUUAGAUACCCCGGUAGUCCUAGCCGUAAACGAUGGGCACUUGGUGUUGGGGGUAUUGAGUCCCUCGGUGCCGGAGUUAACACGUUAAGUGCCCCGCCUGGGGAGUACGGUCGCAAGACUGAA